Molecule: ribosomal RNA, 253 nt
Filed under: uncultured bacterium
Lineage: Bacteria
Description: partial 16S ribosomal RNA
Rfam family: Bacterial small subunit ribosomal RNA
Source: RNAcentral
UACGUAGGGAGCGAGCGUUAUCCGGAAUUAUUGGGUGUAAAGGGUGCGUAGACGGGAACUUAAGUUAGUUGUGAAAUCCCUUAGCUCAACUAAGGAAUGGCAACUGAAACUGGGUUUCUUGAGUGCAGGAGAGGAAAGUGGAAUUCCUAGUGUAGCGGUGGAAUGCGUAGAUAUUAGGAGGAACACCGGUGGCGAAGGCGACUUUCUGGACUGUAACUGACGUUGAGGCACGAAAGUGUGGGGAGCAAACAGG